AGAAUUUGGUGGAAAGUUACAUUUAGUAACGGAUGAUAAUUAGUUCAAAAGUUACUUUGAUGGUUUUGAUGUCAAUGGUAUUACGGAAUCAAAGUGCAAUGUUCUUGUCAUCUUGUUGUGCUUUUUGAUUGAGAUGAUGUGCACAAUGAAGAUUUAUAUUUUUUGCAUGAAGUAUUUUAUUUUUUAUGGCAAUGUUAUUUGUUGUUUUUUUAAGCCCAUUUUGAAGGCAAUGCUUUGUAACUUUAAUUUUAAUUUGUUGUGUGUUAUUUAAAUUUUAAUUUUAAUUUGGUGUGUAUUAUUUAAA
Populus nigra (black poplar) is the source of this 304-nucleotide long non-coding RNA. RefSeq lists it as uncharacterized. The record is from RefSeq and is a predicted model, not a curated record. NCBI's taxonomy places the organism in Eukaryota, Viridiplantae, Streptophyta, Magnoliopsida, Malpighiales, Salicaceae. The transcript is spliced from 2 exons.